Molecule: ribosomal RNA, 503 nt
Filed under: uncultured bacterium
Lineage: Bacteria
Description: bacterial SSU rRNA
Rfam family: Bacterial small subunit ribosomal RNA
Source: RNAcentral
GAUUAUGGCUCAGGAUGAACGCUGGCGGCGUGCCUAACACAUGCAAGUCGAACGGGUUUAACGCUUCCGAAGCUUCGGCAGAGGAUUGUUAAAACCUAGUGGCGGACGGGUGAGUAACGCGUGGGUAACCUGCCUCAUACAGGGGGAUAGCAGUUGGAAACGACUGGUAAUACCGCAUAAGCGCACGGUACCGCAUGGUAUAGUGUGAAAAACUCCGGUGGUAUGAGAUGGACCCGCGUCCGAUUAGCCAGUUGGCGGGGUAACGGCCCACCAAAGCGACGAUCGGUAGCCGGCCUGAGAGGGCGGACGGCCACAUUGGGACUGAGACACGGCCCAGACUCCUACGGGAGGCAGCAGUGGGGGAUAUUGCGCAAUGGGGGAAACCCUGAUGCAGCGACGCCGCGUGGGUGAAGAAGUAUUUCGGUAUGUAAAGCUCUAUCAGCAGGGAAGAAAAUGACGGUACCUGACUAAGAAGCCCCGGCUAACUACGUGCCAGCAGCCGC